Molecule: ribosomal RNA, 871 nt
Filed under: uncultured bacterium
Lineage: Bacteria
Description: bacterial SSU rRNA
Rfam family: Bacterial small subunit ribosomal RNA
Source: RNAcentral
GCAGUCGAGGGGUAUAGGUUUUCGGGCCUAGAGACCGGCGCACGGGUGCGUAACGCGUAUGCAAUCUACCUUUUACAGAGGGAUAGCCCAGAGAAAUUUGGAUUAAUACCUCAUAGUAUAAUGACUCGGCAUCGAGAUAUUAUUAAAGUCACAACGGUAAAAGAUGAGCAUGCGUCCCAUUAGCUAGUUGGUAAGGUAACGGCUUACCAAGGCAACGAUGGGUAGGGGUCCUGAGAGGGAGAUCCCCCACACUGGUACUGAGACACGGACCAGACUCCUACGGGAGGCAGCAGUGAGGAAUAUUGGUCAAUGGGCGCAAGCCUGAACCAGCCAUGCCGCGUGCAGGAUGACGGUCCUAUGGAUUGUAAACUGCUUUUGCACAGGAAGAAACACUCGGACGUGUCCGAGCUUGACGGUACUGUGAGAAUAAGGAUCGGCUAACUCCGUGCCAGCAGCCGCGGUAAUACGGAGGAUCCAAGCGUUAUCCGGAAUCAUUGGGUUUAAAGGGUCCGUAGGCGGUUUAGUAAGUCAGUGGUGAAAGCCCAUCGCUCAACGGUGGAACGGCCAUUGAUACUGCUAGACUUGAAUUAUUGGGAAGCAACUAGGAUAUGUAGUGUAGCGGUGAAAUGCUUAGAGAUUACAUGGAAUACCAAUUGCGAAGGCAGGUUGCUACCAAUACAUUGACGCUGAUGGACGAAAGCGUGGGGAGCGAACAGGAUUAGAUACCCUGGUAGUCCACGCCGUAAACGAUGGAUACUAGCUGUUCGGAGCAAUCUGAGUGGCUAAGCGAAAGUGAUAAGUAUCCCACCUGGGGAGUACGUUCGCAAGAAUGAAACUCAAAGGAAUUGACGGGGGCCCGCACAAGCGGUGG